This 21-nucleotide non-coding RNA is filed under the name Caenorhabditis elegans. The record is from RNAcentral. Lineage: Eukaryota; Metazoa; Nematoda; Chromadorea; Rhabditida; Rhabditidae.
UAACCGAUUGAAGUUUCCUGU